GACCUGUUGCUGAGGUGAUCUGAUGAUAUAGGUCUUGCCUUUCAUUUUAACUGCCAUUCUGGCAACUGACCGUUGGCAGUAAACGCAGCUUAGUUGUCUCAGAGGACUCACAAUGGGAUGUGUUUAUAGUUGUUUCCUCGAAGAUUACGAUGAGGACCUGGUGCAGGAAGCUUCAUCUGAAGAUGUCCUGGGCGUUCAUAUGGUGGACAAAGACACAGAGAGAGACAUUGAGAUGAAAUGGCAAAUAGGGCGACUACGGGAGCUCCACCUAUACAGCAUAUGGAAGAAGUACCCAGAGGCGAUGAAGACAUCCUUGGGAGUUUCACAACGUGAGCGUGACGAAGGCUCCUUGGGCAAGCCAUUGUGUCCACCCGAGAUACUCUCGGAGACGUUGCCAGGCUCUGUGAAGAAAAGUGUACGCUUUCCAUCAGAAGAUCAUCUAGAGGAGUUUAUAGCAGAACAUCUCCCUGAAGCAUCCAAUCAGAGUCUCCUCACUGUUGCCCAUGCAGACACAGGCACCCAAACCAACGGUGACCUGGAAGACCUGGAGGAGCAUAUGCCAGGGCAGACAGUCUCUGAGGAAGCCACAGGGGUUCACAUGAUGGAGGGGGACCCAGACACACUGGCCGAACUUCUGAUCAGGGAUGUACUUCAGGAGCUGUCCAGUUACAACGGCGAGGAGGAGGACCCAGAGGAGGUGAAGACAUCCUUGGGAGUUCCACAACGUGGUGACCUGGAAGACCUGGAGGAGCAUGUGCCAGAGCAGACAAUCUCUGAGGAAGCCACAGGGGUUCACAUGAUGCAGGUGGACCCAGCCACACCGGCAAAGAGUGACCUGGAAGACCUGGAGGAGCAUGUGCCAGAGCAGACAAUCUCUGAGGAAGCCACAGGGGUUCACAUGAUGCAGGUGGACCCAGCCACACCGGCAAGGAAAUUGGAAGACUCCACCAUUACAGGCAGCCACCAGCAGAUGUCAGCAAGUCCUUCCUCUGCACCUGCAGAAGAAGCAACAGAAAAGACCAAAGUGGAAGAGGAAGUGAAAACCAGAAAGCCCAAGAAGAAAACCAGGAAGCCCAGCAAGAAAAGCCGGUGGAAUGUCCUGAAAUGUUGGGACAUUUUUAAUAUAUUUUAGAGACCUCUGAAGAUUCCUCGAACACCAGGAAGGGCCCCGAUGUGGGGAUGUCAACAUGGCUCAGACUUGAUGUGGAUCGUGAUCAUUUCGGGAAAUGUGUUACUCCAAAAACUUUUAUAAUCUUUGCUUAAUUUGUUUUUAAAUACUUUCCUGGCUGGGCGUGGUGGCUUAUGCCUGUAAUCCCAGCACUUUGGGAGGCCGAGGCGGGUGGAUCACCUGAGGUCAGGAGUUCAAGACCAGCCUGGCCAACAAGGUGAAACCCCGUCUCUACUAAAAAUACAAAAAUUAGCUAGGCGUGGUGGCACACUCUUGUAGUCCCAGCUAUUUGGGAGGCUGAGGAAGGAGAAUCACUUGAACUCAGGAGGCAGAGGUUGCAGUGAGCCGAGAUCAUGCCACUGCACCCCAGCGCCUGGCUACAGAGUGAGACUUUGUCUCAAAAAAAAAAAAAGAACAAAAAAAUUCUGACUUUAACCUCUGUUUUUCAGAGGGCACAAAUUGUUCUUGUAUUGUUUCCAUUUUACAUUUUUUUCUUGAAGUUAUUUUCCAAUUGUUUUCAUUCUUUCUGAAGUUUUGUUUACUCAGUUUUAAGUUUUUGUAAUUUUGAUAGACUUCUUUUGUGCUUCCAUUUUCUUAAUGACUUUUACCUCAUUUUUAAAAUAAAUCCAUAGUAUGGAUGAUAUUGAUGAUGAAAUGUCUUACGAUGAUCAUUUAGAGGUUUAUUUUGAACAACUGGCAAUUCCAGGAAUGAUGGAAUAAAACAUACGAAGUAGAAGGACUGGAACCUCCAGAAAAAGUACUUUAAGUUACCUACAGGUGACCCUAGUCAGGUAUGAAUUGAUAAGAAAUGCCUGCACCUUCCCUCCUUCCUAUCUUUCCCUUGCCUACAGAAAAUUAAAAGGCAAAACAAUAGACAUCUGCAUAUUCUUCAUUCAGAUCAACCAGUGGCUAGCAUUUGCCACCUUUUGCAGUUUCUUUCUCUUUCCGCAAAUGAAAACAGUAGCCUAAAGUGUCAGUUUCAACCAGAAAAUAACAGCUCUGAUUUCUCAUGGCUCACACUCAUCUGAAACGACUCAGGUAGAGGCUGAGGAAGGCCGUGUUGUUUGUCUACCUGGGACUACACCUACUGAAAGAAGUUCUCAAGUUCUGAUUGAGUUCUAAAAUUUUUUGAAGAUUGGAAUUCUUCAUAUGUAAAAAGAGAAGAGAAAGACAUUCUUGAUUUUGGUGACUAGAGUUGUAGAUGCUGGAAGCUUUGCCGCUAACAUUGAUGAACCAGAUGCAUGUCACCAGCCCAUCACAGUGAUUCUUAAUGCCGGCACCAUGGCCCGGCACUGCCACGUUUUCCAAGGAACCUGCCGGAGCUCCUGCGGAAGCUGCUCCUCGGGCGAUGGAGUCCCUUCGCUGGUAGGCCCUUCUUCAGUCACCACAGGAUGCCUGCCAUUCAUGAACAGGAAGGAGAGGACGGGCUUUGAAUAAAAAACAGGAUCCAGGAAAUAUUUGUGAGGCCAUUUGGACUUCAGUGUGAAAUGGUGUUAAAAGAUGAAGUCAUUUAUUCAAGAAGUAAACAUCUGCCACCUGGACUGUGCUCAGACAUUUCAUUGAUUUUGUUUAAUAAACAUUUUCUGGCUUUGG
This is an RNA transcript of Pan troglodytes (chimpanzee), 2761 nucleotides long. It is a transcript of the gene named protein FAM153B, with no coding region annotated. The transcript has 28 exons. The record is from RefSeq and is a predicted model, not a curated record. Lineage: Eukaryota; Metazoa; Chordata; Mammalia; Primates; Hominidae.